UAGUGAACCUGCGGAAGAUCAUAU
RNAcentral lists this ribosomal RNA (24 nucleotides) under uncultured Acaulosporaceae. RNAcentral describes it as "partial 18S ribosomal RNA". Lineage: Eukaryota; Fungi; Glomeromycota; Glomeromycetes; Diversisporales; Acaulosporaceae. The record is from RNAcentral.